Molecule: non-coding RNA, 432 nt
Organism: Pelobates cultripes (western spadefoot toad)
Lineage: Eukaryota; Metazoa; Chordata; Amphibia; Anura; Pelobatidae
Source: the annotation of a GenBank genome assembly
UUCUAAUGUAGUAAACUUUAAACAUUUUGGAUCAUAUGAUAAAAAUAAUCCAAGGGUUGGUUUCUAGAUGGACAAUAAUGGAUUGAUCCAGGUGACUCAUAUAUGAAGAACAAUUCUGGAGUAAAUCUUACAUAACAUUUCUCCCUCUCGACAAUCUUUUGAUAGAAUGACACAUCAGAGGCUUUCUGUAUAGAGAAAUAUUCAAAAGUGAAUGUUGAUGCAUGUUGUCUUAAAACUGUUUAUGUUGUCAAAAUGGUGAUGUGUAAAAUCAUGUGACAUAGGACUUCUUUGGUCAUACACGUCCUUUGGGUUGUCGGGAGAGAAGCCCACAUGGUUAGACAGAGGGAAUAUUUAUUCUGCAAAGCAGAAAGAAGAGAUAAAGAAGAAGAAGAAAUGGAAAAAAUAUGAUUUAUAAAUAUGAUUUAAUAUAAG